Chaetomium globosum CBS 148.51 is the source of this 82-nucleotide transfer RNA. It matches the Rfam family "tRNA". From Rfam's summary of the family: Transfer RNA (tRNA) molecules are approximately 80 nucleotides in length. Their secondary structure includes four short double-helical elements and three loops (D, anti-codon, and T loops). The record is from Rfam. Lineage: Eukaryota; Fungi; Ascomycota; Sordariomycetes; Sordariales; Chaetomiaceae.
GCCUGAUUAGCACAGGGGUAAUGCGUUGCACUCGUACCGCCUAGAGAUGCAAAGAUCACUGGUUCGAUUCCAGUAUCAGGCA